Non-coding RNA from Acanthosepion pharaonis, 110 nucleotides. NCBI's taxonomy places the organism in Eukaryota, Metazoa, Mollusca, Cephalopoda, Sepiida, Sepiidae. The record is from the annotation of a GenBank genome assembly.
UGGCCAUAUCACGUUGAAACACCGGUUCCACUACAUUCACGGAAGUAAAGCAACGUCGAGCCUGGUCAGUAUUUAUAGGGGUGACCGCUUGCGAAUACCGGGUGCUGUAA